Molecule: transfer RNA, 71 nt
Filed under: Loxodonta africana (African savanna elephant)
Lineage: Eukaryota; Metazoa; Chordata; Mammalia; Proboscidea; Elephantidae
Rfam family: tRNA
About the family: Transfer RNA (tRNA) molecules are approximately 80 nucleotides in length.
Source: Rfam by way of RNAcentral
CCAGUGGUGGUUCAGUGGUAGAGCUCUCCCCUUCCAUGCAGGAGACCUGGGUUUGAUUCCCAGCCAAUGCA